AGUGAACGCUGGCGGUAGGCCUAACACAUGCAAGUCGAACGGCAGCACAGUAAGAGCUUGCUCUUACGGGUGGCGAGUGGCGGACGGGUGAGGAAUACAUCGGAAUCUACUUUUUCGUGGGGGAUAACGUAGGGAAACUUACGCUAAUACCGCAUACGACCUACGGGUGAAAGCAGGGGAUCUUCGGACCUUGCGCGAUUGAAUGAGCCGAUGUCUGAUUAGCUAGUUGGCGGGGUAAAGGCCCACCAAGGCGACGAUCCGUAGCUGGUCUGAGAGGAUGAUCAGCCACACUGGAACUGAGACACGGUCCAGACCCCUACGGGAGGCAGCAGUGGGGAAUAUUGGACAAUGGGCGCAAGCCUGAUCCAGCCAUACCGCGUGGGUGAAGAAGGCCUUCGGGUUGUAAAGCCCUUUUGUUGGGAAAGAAAAGCAGCAGGUUAAUACCCCGCUGUUCUGACGGUACCCAAAGAAUAAGCACCGGCUAACUUCGUG
This 492-nucleotide ribosomal RNA is filed under the name uncultured bacterium. RNAcentral's name for it is "partial 16S ribosomal RNA". It matches the Rfam family "Bacterial small subunit ribosomal RNA", at positions 29 to 507 of the family's 1533-position model. The record is from RNAcentral.